AGCUAAGAGACUGUCCUUGCUGUGUGG
This 27-nucleotide non-coding RNA is filed under the name Homo sapiens (human). The record is from RNAcentral. Lineage: Eukaryota; Metazoa; Chordata; Mammalia; Primates; Hominidae.